AUUGAACGCUGGCGGCAUGCCUUACACAUGCAAGUCGAACGGUAACAGGUCUUCGGAUGCUGACGAGUGGCGAACGGGUGAGUAAUACAUCGGAACGUGCCUAGUAGUGGGGGAUAACUACUCGAAAGAGUGGCUAAUACCGCAUGAGAUCUACGGAUGAAAGCAGGGGAUCGCAAGACCUUGUGCUACUAGAGCGGCCGGUGGCAGAUUAGGUAGUGGGUGGGAUAGAAGCUUACCAAGCCGACGAUCUGUAGCUGGUCUGAGAGGACGAUCAGCCACACUGGGACUGAGACACGGCCCAGACUCCUACGGGAGGCAGCAGUGGGGAAUUUUGGACAAUGGGCGAAAGCCUGAUCCAGCAAUGCCGCGUGCAGGAUGAAGGCCUUCGGGUUGUAAACUGCUUUUGUACGGAACGAAAAGCCCCGGGUUAAUACCCUGGGGUCAUGACGGUACCGUAAGAAUAAGCACCGGCUAACUACGUGCCAGCCGCCGCCGUAA
Molecule: ribosomal RNA, 498 nt
Filed under: uncultured bacterium
Lineage: Bacteria
Description: partial 16S ribosomal RNA
Rfam family: Bacterial small subunit ribosomal RNA
Source: RNAcentral